Callithrix jacchus (white-tufted-ear marmoset) is the source of this 72-nucleotide small nucleolar RNA. Lineage: Eukaryota; Metazoa; Chordata; Mammalia; Primates; Cebidae. The record is from Ensembl.
UGGAUCGAUGCUGACCACCGGUGGCGUGUGCGUCUUAGGCAAUGAUCACGUGUCUGAAACUCGGAGGUCUGU